AGUCUCUAAGGCCUCUUUUGGAUUGAGGGAUUUAGAGAGAUUUGGAGAGAAAAGAAAGGGAAGAAUAGUGUCAAGUGUGUUUGGAUGAAAAGAAUAAUCUCUCCAAUAUAGUAAAAUCAAAUCUCCUCAAUUUUGAGAAGAUUUGAGGGGAAAGGAAACAAUUGAAAGAGAAAGACAAAAUUAGCCUCCAUGAUUCUAUGAUUCUCUGCGUGUAUUGGGCGUCUGCUCUACUGCUACUACUACUUGUACAUCCACACAACCAUCUCAGAGGGCAAUCCAGAUUCCUCCUGUACCGUCAAAGCCAACAAAAUGCUCUCACUUUCUUGAGGCCGAGACUACUCUCCCUCUCCGUAGUCUUGAAUUUGUGAUCAAUCUAGACACUGUUCUCGAAUCGUCUGUGGCGUUUCUUCUACUGAAACCAGAGAGGAAGAGAAGCAGAAGAUGGGAUCCGGGCCACGGCGUGGGAAGGUGCUACUACGCGUCCGACUUAAUCACCAAGUUGAAUUUGGUGAGAGUGUUGCAAUUUUGGGAUCGGCAAGAGAAUUUGGCUCAUGGAAGAAGAAAGUGGCGAUGAAUUGGACAAAGGAUGGAUGGUUUUGUGAGUUGGGACUAAAGGGGGAAGAAUCUGUUGAGUUCAAAUUCGUGAUUAUGGACAAGAGUGUGUUUGGGAAAGUGGUGAUAACAGUAUCCUGCCCGGCAGCCUUGUGCUUCUGAAAUAGUCGAUUCAUACACAUAAUAAGAAAUGAUCAAUAAUUAUGUAUAUGGCUAUAGAUAUGCGAUGAAAGUCAAGUUCAGGGAGAGAGAGAACAUUGACCAGUACUUAAAAUAGGUUCCCUUCAGAGUUCACAAGGUUGAAGCAAAAAAGAUUUACUAAAAGUAAACUGCUAUUACUUCCACCAAUAUUGCAUGAAAAAGGCUGUAUCAUAUGACCCCAUACGUCGCACUAGACAAGAAAAGAAGGUGAAGAAAACGGGUAUCCAUCUAGUUAUGGAGGAGCAAGGUGAAGGUUAACACACAGAAAUCCUAGAAGUCAGUUGCAUGUUUGGGGAGCAGCAUUAAGAGGCAAUAGAAAGGAUCAUUUGGAUACUUUUGAUUGUCAAUUUUGUGUACGUUUGUUUUGAUUAUCAAUUUUGUAUACAAGAAGCUCUAUCUCUUGUAAAAACAAUUUCAAUUGUGAUGGAAAAUGUUUUGUUAGU
Molecule: long non-coding RNA, 1196 nt
Organism: Cornus florida
Lineage: Eukaryota; Viridiplantae; Streptophyta; Magnoliopsida; Cornales; Cornaceae
Exons: 4
Source: RefSeq, a predicted model, not a curated record